UCUGACGUCAGUGAAUCAUCGAAUCUUUGAACGCAAUUUGCACCUCGUCGCUUCGGUGACAAGGUAUACUUGUUUGAGUAUCACAAACAACCUCACCCUCCCUUUUGGGUAUGUGGACUUGAGAGUUCUACCUUACGGUAGUCUCUUUAAAAUCAGGUUUUGAAGUCUCAGCAUGAGAUGAUUAUUGGGAUAACAUCCUAACAAUAGUCGUUGCUUUGACUUGACCCCUUCAUUGGGAACAGAACCACCUGUUCGCUCCACCGCAAAGUGUAGUGACCAACAUUUUUAAGUUGAUCUCAAAUCAAGUAGGGAUACCCGCUGGACUUAAGCAUAUCAAUAAGCGGAGG
RNAcentral lists this ribosomal RNA (347 nucleotides) under uncultured Basidiomycota. Its description in RNAcentral is "eukaryotic LSU rRNA". The stretch from base 1 to 83 matches the Rfam family "5.8S ribosomal RNA", at positions 74 to 154 of the family's 154-position model. Lineage: Eukaryota; Fungi; Basidiomycota. The record is from RNAcentral.